RNAcentral lists this transfer RNA (75 nucleotides) under bacterium. RNAcentral describes it as "tRNA-Glu". It matches the Rfam family "tRNA". Rfam says of the family: Transfer RNA (tRNA) molecules are approximately 80 nucleotides in length. Their secondary structure includes four short double-helical elements and three loops (D, anti-codon, and T loops). The record is from RNAcentral.
GGCGCCAUCGUCUAACGGUUAGGACACAGGAUUCUCAUUCCUGUAAUAGGGGUUCGAUUCCCCUUGGCGCUACCA